This 486-nucleotide ribosomal RNA is filed under the name uncultured bacterium. RNAcentral describes it as "partial 16S ribosomal RNA". It matches the Rfam family "Bacterial small subunit ribosomal RNA", at positions 30 to 507 of the family's 1533-position model. The record is from RNAcentral.
AUUGAACGCUGGCGGCAUGCCUUACACAUGCAAGUCGAACGGCAGCACGGGUGCUUGCACCUGGUGGCGAGUGGCGAACGGGUGAGUAAUACAUCGGAACAUGUCCUGUAGUGGGGGAUAGGCCGGCGAAAGCCGGAUUAAUACCGCAUACGAUCUACGGAUGAAAGCGGGGGACCUUCGGGCCUCGCGCUAUAGGGUUGGCCGAUGGCUGAUUAGCUAGUUGGUGGGGUAAAGGCCUACCAAGGCGACGAUCAGUAGCUGGUCUGAGAGGACGACCAGCCACACUGGGACUGAGACACGGCCCAGACUCCUACGGGAGGCAGCAGUGGGGAAUUUUGGACAAUGGGCGAAAGCCUGAUCCAGCAAUGCCGCGUGUGUGAAGAAGGCCUUCGGGUUGUAAAGCACUUUUGUCCGGAAAGAAAUCCUUGGCCCUAAUACGGUCGGGGGAUGACGGUACCGGAAGAAUAAGCACCGGCUAACUACGUG